RNAcentral lists this ribosomal RNA (490 nucleotides) under uncultured bacterium. RNAcentral's name for it is "partial 16S ribosomal RNA". It matches the Rfam family "Bacterial small subunit ribosomal RNA", at positions 30 to 507 of the family's 1533-position model. The record is from RNAcentral.
AUUGAACGCUGGCGGCAGGCCUAACACAUGCAAGUCGAACGGUAACAGGAAUAAGCUUGCUUCUUUGCUGACGAGUGGCGGACGGGUGAGUAAUGUCUGGGAAACUGCCUGAUGGAGGGGGAUAACUACUGGAAACGGUAGCUAAUACCGCAUAACGUCGCAAGACCAAAGAGGGGGACCUUCGGGCCUCUUGCCAUCGGAUGUGCCCAGAUGGGAUUAGCUAGUAGGUGGGGUAACGGCUCACCUAGGCGACGAUCCCUAGCUGGUCUGAGAGGAUGACCAGCCACACUGGAACUGAGACACGGUCCAGACUCCUACGGGAGGCAGCAGUGGGGAAUAUUGCACAAUGGGCGCAAGCCUGAUGCAGCCAUGCCGCGUGUAUGAAGAAGGCCUUCGGGUUGUAAAGUACUUUCAGCGGGGAGGAAGGGAGUAAAGUUAAUACCUUUGCUCAUUGACGUUACCCGCAGAAGAAGCACCGGCUAACUCCGUG